RNAcentral lists this ribosomal RNA (407 nucleotides) under uncultured bacterium. RNAcentral's name for it is "partial 16S ribosomal RNA". It matches the Rfam family "Bacterial small subunit ribosomal RNA", at positions 30 to 526 of the family's 1533-position model. The record is from RNAcentral.
AUUGAACGCUGGCGGCAGGCCUAACACAUGCAAGUCGAGCGGAGCGGCGGACGGGUGAGUAAUGCCUAGGAAUCUGCCUGGUAGUGGGGGAUAACGUCCGGAAACGGGCGCUAAUACCGCAUACUAUCAGAUGAGCCUAGGUCGGAUUAGCUAGUUGGGGGGGUAAAGGCCUACCAGGGCGACGAUCCGUACCGGGUAUGAGGGGAUGAUCAGUCACACGGGAACUGAGCAACGGUCCAGACUCCUACGGGAGGCAGCAGUGGGGAAUAUUGGGCAAUGGGCGAAAGCCUGAUCCAGCCAUGCCGCGGUUAUGAAGAAGGCCUUCGGGUUGUAAAGUACUUUCAGUCGGGAGGCGUUACCGACAGAAGAAGCACCGGCUAACUCCGUGCCAGCAGCCGCGGUAAUUC